This 409-nucleotide ribosomal RNA is filed under the name uncultured soil bacterium. Its description in RNAcentral is "bacterial SSU rRNA". It matches the Rfam family "Bacterial small subunit ribosomal RNA", at positions 509 to 916 of the family's 1533-position model. The record is from RNAcentral.
CAGCCGCCGCGGUAAUACAGAGGGUGCGAGUGUUGUCCGGAAUCACUGGGCGUAAAGGGCGCGUAGGCGGUGCGAUAAGCGUGCGGUGAAAGCCCGGGGCUCAACCCCGGGUCGGCCGUGCGGACUGUCGGACUGGAACACUGUAGAGGCAGGUGGAAUUCCGGGUGUAGCGGUGGAAUGCGUAGAGAUCCGGAAGAACACCGGUGGCGAAGGCGGCCUGCUGGGCAGUGGCUGACGCUGAGGCGCGACAGCGUGGGGAGCAAACAGGAUUAGAUACCCUGGUAGUCCACGCCGUAAACGAUGGGCACUAGGUGCUUGGGGGAGCGACCCUCCGAGUGCCGGCGCUAACGCAUUAAGUGCCCCGCCUGGGGAGUACGGCCGCAAGGCUGAAACUCAAAGGAAUUGACGG